Molecule: ribosomal RNA, 420 nt
Filed under: bacterium
Lineage: Bacteria
Description: partial 16S ribosomal RNA
Rfam family: Bacterial small subunit ribosomal RNA
Source: RNAcentral
UGGGGGAUAUUGCUCAAUGGGCGAAAGCCUGAUGCAGCGACGCCGCGUGGGGGAUGAAGGCUUUCGGGUUGUAAACCUCUUUCGCUAUCGAACAAGGCCCGCUUAGGGUGGGUUGAGGGUAGGUGGAGAAGAAGCGCCGGCUAACUACGUGCCAGCAGCCGCGGUAAUACGUAGGGCGCGAGCGUUGUCCGGAAUUAUUGGGCGUAAAGGGCUUGUAGGCGGCUUGUUGCGCCUUCUGUGAAAACGCGGGGCUUAACUUCGCGCGUGCAGUGGGUACGGGCAGGCUUGAGUGUGGUAGGGGUGACUGGAAUUCCAGGUGUAGCGGUGGAAUGCGCAGAUAUCUGGAGGAACACCGAUGGCGAAGGCAGGUCACUGGGCCAUUACUGACGCUGAGGAGCGAAAGCAUGGGUAGCGAACAGG